AUUGAACGCUGGCGGCAUGCCUUACACAUGCAAGUCGAACGGUAACAGGUCUUCGGAUGCUGACGAGUGGCGAACGGGUGAGUAAUACAUCGGAACGUGCCCAGACGUGGGGGAUAACGAGGCGAAAGCUUUGCUAAUACCGCAUACGAUCUAAGGAUGAAAGCAGGGGACCGCAAGGCCUUGCGCGUUUGAGCGGCCGAUGGCAGAUUAGGUAGUUGGUGGGAUAAAAGCUUACCAAGCCGACGAUCUGUAGCUGGUCUGAGAGGACGACCAGCCACACUGGGACUGAGACACGGCCCAGACUCCUACGGGAGGCAGCAGUGGGGAAUUUUGGACAAUGGGCGAAAGCCUGAUCCAGCAAUGCCGCGUGCAGGAUGAAGGCCUUCGGGUUGUAAACUGCUUUUGUACGGAACGAAAAGGCUCUGGCUAAUACCUGGGGCACAUGACGGUACCGUAAGAAUAAGCACCGGCUAACUACGUG
Molecule: ribosomal RNA, 481 nt
Filed under: uncultured bacterium
Lineage: Bacteria
Description: partial 16S ribosomal RNA
Rfam family: Bacterial small subunit ribosomal RNA
Source: RNAcentral